This 253-nucleotide ribosomal RNA is filed under the name uncultured bacterium. RNAcentral describes it as "partial 16S ribosomal RNA". It matches the Rfam family "Bacterial small subunit ribosomal RNA", at positions 524 to 776 of the family's 1533-position model. The record is from RNAcentral.
UGCGUAGGGUGCGAGCGUUGUCCGGAAUUAUUGGGCGUAAAGAGCUCGUAGGCGGCCUGUCGCGUCGGAUGUGAAAGCCCGGGGCUUAACCCCGGGUCUGCAUUCGAUACGGGCAGGCUAGAGUGUGGUAGGGGAGAUCGGAAUUCCUGGUGUAGCGGUGAAAUGCGCAGAUAUCAGGAGGAACACCGGUGGCGAAGGCGGAUCUCUGGGCCAUUACUGACGCUGAGGAGCGAAAGCGUGGGGAGCGAACAGG